GCAGCAGGCGCGCAAAUUACCCACUCCCGGCACGGGGAGGUAGUGACGAAAAAUAACGAUACGGGACUCAUCCGAGGCCCCGUAAUCGGAAUGAGUACACUUUAAAACCUUUAACGAGUAUCCAUUGGAGGGCAAGUCUGGUGCCAGCAGCCGCGGUAAUUCCAGCUCCAAUAGCGUAUAUUAAAGUUGUUGCGGUUAAAAAGCUCGUAGUUGGAUUUGUGUCCCACGCUGUCGGUUCACCGUUCGUCGGUGUUUAACUGGCAUGCCUGUGCGGACGUCCUGCCGGUGGAUGCGGUCGGCCGUGGGCCUCUGGUCUGCGCGUCGGCGGUCCGAUUCAAUCCUACCGCGGUGCUCUUCACCGAGUGUCGAGGUGGGCCGGCACGUUUACUUUGAACAAAUUAGAGUGCUCAAAGCAGGCAGUGGUUCGCCUGAAUAUUGUGUGCAUGGAAUAAUGGAAUAGGACCUCGGUUCUAUUUUGUUGGUUUUCGGAACUUGAGGUAAUGAUUAAUAGGGACAGACGGGGGCAUUCGUAUUGCGACGUUAGAGGUGAAAUUCUUGGAUCGUCGCAAGACGAACCUAAGCGAAAGCAUUUGCCACGAGUGUUUUCAUUAAUCAAGAACGAAAGUUAGAGGUUCGAAGGCGAUCAGAUACCGCCCUAGUUCUAACCAUAAACGAUGCCAGCUAGCGAUCCGCCGAAGUUCCUCCGAUGACUCGGCGGGCAGCUUCCGGGAAACCAAAGCUUUUGGGUUCCGGGGGAAGUAUGGUUGCAAAGCUGAAACUUAAAGGAAUUGACGGAAGGGCACCACCAGGAGUGGAGCCUGCGGCUUAAUUUGACUCAACACGGGAAACCUCACCAGGCCCGGACACCGGAAGGAUUGACAGAUUGAGAGCUCUUUCUUGAUUCGGUGGGUGGUGGUGCAUGGCCGUUCUUAGUUGGUGGAGCGAUUUGUCUG
Molecule: ribosomal RNA, 953 nt
Filed under: Trachyaretaon carmelae
Lineage: Eukaryota; Metazoa; Arthropoda; Insecta; Phasmatodea; Heteropterygidae
Description: SSU rRNA
Rfam family: Eukaryotic small subunit ribosomal RNA
Source: RNAcentral